GGUCAAGUUAUUAAGGGUGCAGGGUGGAUGCCUUGGCACUAGGAGCCGAUGAAGGACGUGAUAAGCUGCGAUAAGCUUCGGGGAGUUGCACGUAAACUUUGAUCCGAAGAUUUCCGAAUGAGGAAACUCACUUAGAGUAAUGUCUAAGUAUCAUUAAGUGAAUACAUAGCUUAAUGAGGGGAACUCAGGGAACUGAAACAUCUAAGUACCUGAAGGAAGAGAAAGAAAUUCGAUUCCGUAAGUAGCGGCGAGCGAACGCGGAUUAGCCCAAACCAAUAAAGUUUUCUUUAUUGGGGUUGCGGACAUAUCAUAACGAAGAGGUAUCGUAAUUGAAGAGGUUUGGAAAGACCCACCACAGAAGGUAAUAGUCCUGUAUGUUAAACGAGAAGACUUCAGAUAUGAUCCAGAGUACCACGGGACACGUGAAACCCUGUGGGAAGCAGGAGGGACCACCCUCCAAGGCUAAAUACUACCUAGUGACCGAUAGCGUAUAGUACCGUGAGGGAAAGGUGAAAAGAACCCCGGGAGGGGAGUGAAAUAGAACCUGAAACCCUGCACUUACAAGCUGUGGAAGCACAUUUCUUGUGUGACCGCGUACUUUUUGUAGAACGGGCCAACGAGUUACGUUAAGUAGCAAGGUUAAGCACUUAAGGUGCGGAGCCGUAGCGAAAGCGAGUUUUAACUGAGCGUUCAGUUACUUGACGUAGACCCGAAACCGGGCGACCUACCCAUGAGCAGGAUGAAGCGAAAGUAAAAUUUCGUGGAGGUCCGAACCCACGAGCGUUGAAAAGCUCGGGGAUGACUUGUGGGUAGCGGUGAAAUUCCAAUCGAGCCCGGAGAUAGCUGGUUCUCCCCGAAAUAGCUUUAGGGCUAGCCUCAAGGUGAGAGAUACGGAGGUAGAGCACUGAAUGUCCUAGGGGGUAUUGCACCUACCGAAGACUAUCAAACUCCGAAUGCCGUCAUCUUAUACUUGGGAGUCAGACUGUGGGUGAUAAGAUUCAUAGUCGAAAGGGCAACAGCCCAGAUCGUCAGCUAAGGUCCCUAAAUGUAAGUUAAGUGGUAAAGGAUGUGGGAUUGCACAGACAACCAGGAUGUUGGCUUAGAAGCAGCCACUCAUUCAAAGAGUGCGUAAUAGCUCACUGGUCGAGUGAUCCUGCGCCGAAGAUUUCCGGGGCUAAAACUUACUACCGAAGCUACGGCAUCAGUAAUGAUGGGUAGGGGAGCUUCCCAUACGGGUUGAAGCAUGACCGUAAGGACAUGUGGACAGUAUGGGAGUGAGAAUGUUGGCAUGAGUAGCGAGAUGUGGGUGAGAAUCCCACAGGCCGUAAACCCAAGGUUUCCAGGGGAAGGUUCGUCCGCCCUGGGUUAGUCGGGACCUAAGCUGAGGCCGAAAGGCGUAGGUGAUGGACAACAGGUUGAUAUUCCUGUACUACCGAUAACCGUUUGAGAGAAGGGAUGACACAGUAGGAUAAGCUAAGCACACUGUUGGUUAUGUGUGCCCAAGCAUUGAGGCAGUCAAAGUAGGCAAAUCCGCUUUGAUAAUGCUGGGAUGUGAUGGGGAGCGAAAUUUAGUAGCGAAGUAGCUGAUUUCACACUGUCAAGAAAAGUCUCUAUCGAGGUUAAAGGUACCCGUACCGCAAACCGACACAGGUGGGUGAGGAGAGUAUCCUAAGGCCAGCGAGAGAACUGUUGUUAAGGAACUCGGCAAAAUGACCCCGUAACUUAGGGAUAAGGGGUGCCACCAUCAGGUGGCCGCAGAGAAUAGGCCCAAGCGACUGUUUACCAAAAACAUAGGUUUCUGCUAAGUCGCAAGACGAUGUAUAGGAGCUGACGCCUGCCCGGUGCUGGAAGGUUAAGGGGAUCUGUUAGAGCAAUCGAAGCAGUGAACUUAAGCCCCAGUAAACGGCGGCCGUAACUAUAACGGUCCUAAGGUAGCGAAAUUCCUUGUCGGGUAAGUUCCGACCCGCACGAAAGGCGUAACGAUUUGGGCACUGUCUCAACAACAGACUCGGUGAAAUUGUAAUUCCGGUGAAGAUGCCGGAUACCUGCGACAGGACGGAAAGACCCCAUGGAGCUUUACUGUAGCUUGACAUUGGGUCUUGGUACUACAUGUACAGGAUAGGUGGGAGGCUUUGAAACCAGGACGCCAGUUUUGGCGGAGCCAUCCUUGGGAUACCACCCUUGUAGUACUGGGACUCUAACCAUAGGCCAUGAAUCUGGUCUUGGGACACUGUCAGGUGGGCAGUUUGACUGGGGCGGUCGCCUCCCAAAAGGUAACGGAGGCGCUCAAAGGUUCUCUCAGUACGGUCGGAAAUCGUACGUAGAGUGUAAAGGCAAAAGAGAGCUUGAUUGCAAGACAUACAGGUCGAGCAAGGAUGAAAAUCGGACUUAGUGAUCCGGUGGUUCUGCGUGGAAGGGCCAUCGCUCAACGGAUAAAAGCUACCCUGGGGAUAACAGGCUUAUCUCCCCCAAGAGUCCACAUCGACGGGGAGGUUUGGCACCUCGAUGUCGGCUCAUCACAUCCUGGGGCUGUAGUAGGUCCCAAGGGUUGGGCUGUUCGCCCAUUAAAGUGGUACGCGAGCUGGGUUCAGAACGUCGUGAGACAGUUCGGUCCCUAUCCGUCGCAGGCGUAGGAAAUUUGAGAAGACCUGUCCUUAGUACGAGAGGACCGGGAUGGACGUACCUCUGGUGUACCAGUUGUUCUGCCAAGGGCAUGGCUGGGUAGCUAUGUACGGAAUGGAUAAGCGCUGAAAGCAUCUAAGCGCGAAGCCAACUUCAAGAUAAGAUUUCCCACCGCAAGGGUAAGACCCCAGAAAGACUAUCUGGUUGAUAGGUCGAAGGUGUAAGUGCAGCAAUGUAUUUAGCUUAUCGAUACUAAUAGGUCGAGGACUUGACCAA
This 2898-nucleotide ribosomal RNA is filed under the name Clostridioides difficile. RNAcentral describes it as "23S ribosomal RNA". It matches the Rfam family "Bacterial large subunit ribosomal RNA". Lineage: Bacteria; Bacillati; Bacillota; Clostridia; Peptostreptococcales; Peptostreptococcaceae. The record is from RNAcentral.